AGCUGCGUGGCGCAGUGGAAGCGCGGUAAGUCAACAAAACUCCCCGAUAAAAAUCGGGUCCAUUGUACUAACAACGAAAUAACAGCCGGGCUCAUAACCCGGAGGUCCUCCGAUCGAAACGGAGCGCAGCUA
Molecule: transfer RNA, 132 nt
Filed under: Coniochaeta sp. 2T2.1
Lineage: Eukaryota; Fungi; Ascomycota; Sordariomycetes; Coniochaetales; Coniochaetaceae
Description: tRNA-Val
Source: RNAcentral